UAACAGGUUCUUCGGAAUGCUGACGAGUGGCGGACGGGUGAGUAAUACAUAGGAAUCUACCCAUGUAGUGGGGGAUAACUUGGGGAAACCCAAGCUAAUACCGCAUAAUUCCUACGGGAUAAAGAGGGCCACUGCUUGCAAGCUCUUGCUAUUGGAUGAGCCUAUGUCGGAUUAGUUAGUUGGUAAGGUAAUGGCUUACCAAGACAGCGAUCCGUAGCUGGUUUGAGAGGAUGAUCAGCCACACUGGGACUGAGACACGGCCCAGACUCC
Molecule: ribosomal RNA, 270 nt
Filed under: uncultured bacterium
Lineage: Bacteria
Description: partial 16S ribosomal RNA
Rfam family: Bacterial small subunit ribosomal RNA
Source: RNAcentral